CAGGUCACUCCUACGGGAGGCAGCAGUGGGGAAUAUUGCGCAAUGGGCGAAAGCCUGACGCAGCAACGCCGCGUGAGUGAUGAAGGCCUUUGGGUCGUAAAGCUCUUUUUUGGGGGACGAUGCUGACGGUACUCCAAGAAUAAGCACCGGCCAACUCUGUGCCAGCAGCCGCGGUAAUACAGAGGGUGCGAGCGUUGUCCGGAAUCACUGGGCGUAAAGGGCGCGUAGGCGGCCCGUUAAGUGGCUGGUGAAAUCCCGCGGCUCAACUGCGGGGCUGCCGGUCAGACUGGCGAGCUAGAGCACGGUAGGGGCAGAUGGAAUUCCCGGUGUAGCGGUGGAAUGCGUAGAGAUCGGGAAGAAUACCAGUGGCGAAGGCGUUCUGCUGGGCCGUUGCUGACGCUGAGGCGCGACAGCGUGGGGAGCAAACAGGAUUAGAUACCCCGGUAGUCCUAGCUGUAAACGGUGAUCACUAGGUGUUGGAGGCAUAGACCCCUCCAGUGCCGCAGCUAACGCAUUAAGUGAUCCGCCUG
This 530-nucleotide ribosomal RNA is filed under the name uncultured bacterium. RNAcentral describes it as "bacterial SSU rRNA". It matches the Rfam family "Bacterial small subunit ribosomal RNA", at positions 329 to 875 of the family's 1533-position model. The record is from RNAcentral.